UCUACGGGAGGCAGCAGUAGGGAAUUUUCGGCAAUGGGGGGAACCCUGACCGAGCAACGCCGCGUGAGUGAAGAAGGUCUUCGGAUUGUAAAGCUCUGUUGUAAGGGAAGAACGUCAGGCAGAGGAUGUCUGAGUGACGGUACCUUACCAGAAAGCCACGGCUAACUACGUGCCAGCAGCCGCGGUAAUA
This 190-nucleotide ribosomal RNA is filed under the name uncultured bacterium. RNAcentral's name for it is "partial 16S ribosomal RNA". It matches the Rfam family "Bacterial small subunit ribosomal RNA", at positions 338 to 525 of the family's 1533-position model. RNAcentral also lists the same sequence under 1 other name. The record is from RNAcentral.